RNAcentral lists this ribosomal RNA (460 nucleotides) under uncultured bacterium. Its description in RNAcentral is "partial 16S ribosomal RNA". It matches the Rfam family "Bacterial small subunit ribosomal RNA", at positions 338 to 795 of the family's 1533-position model. The record is from RNAcentral.
CCUACGGGAGGCUGCAGUGAGGAAUAUUGGUCAAUGGACGAGAGUCUGAACCAGCCAAGUCGCGUGAAGGAUGACUGCCCUAUGGGUUGUAAACUUCUUUUAUAUGGGAAUAAAACGUUCCACGUGUGGGAUUUUGUAUGUACCAUAUGAAUAAGGAUCGGCUAACUCCGUGCCAGCAGCCGCGGUAAUACGGAGGAUCCGGGCGUUAUCCGGAUUUAUUGGGUUUAAAGGGAGCGUAGGUGGGUUGUUAAGUCAGUUGUGAAAGUUUGCGGCUCAACCGUAGAAUUGCAGUUGAAACUGGCAGUCUUGAGUACAGGAGAGGUGGGCGGAAUUCGUGGUGUAGCGGUGAAAUGCUUAGAUAUCACGAAGAACUCCGAUUGCGAAGGCAGUUCACUGGACUGCAACUGACACUGAGGCUCGAAAGUGUGGGUAUCAAACAGGAUUAGAUACCCUUGUAGUC